This 2955-nucleotide long non-coding RNA is filed under the name Salvia miltiorrhiza (redroot sage). Its description in RNAcentral is "long non-coding RNA (SMIL_LNC011021)". The record is from RNAcentral. Lineage: Eukaryota; Viridiplantae; Streptophyta; Magnoliopsida; Lamiales; Lamiaceae.
GUAGAUGUCUGUGUUUGUGUGUGUUUCCGGCUUUGUUGUAGUCUGGCUUGAGAAUAUUAUACUGCUCUUAUUUAUGAUGAUCUUUCGUUUCUUAACUAUGGGGUUAUUUGUCUGAAUCUUUUGAUGAGAUUUUUAAGAAAUAACCCUUUAUGUUUCUACUUCGAAAGCCACUCAACUAUAUACAGAUUGGAAACAUGAUCAGAACACGCUUGCUCAUCCCAGCCUGAUGAAGAAAAUACUCAGCUCAGGGUCGGAGUUCCGGGGCUCAUGAUUUCAUUUACAAGGAUUUGGUCAAAAUAUAGCACCAUGGAUUAAUUAAUGAACUUCAAGGUAAAUUUGUAUUUUUCUGUUGAUAAUAUUUUGUGAUUAUUUGAAUACAUACCCAAAAUAACUUAUUUUUAAUUAUAGCAGUUGAAGAACACAAAUAAUAUUGCGUAUGUCUUAUAAUUAGUGUUUGUUAAAUAUAUUUAUGUAUGUUGUUUCUGCUCUCGACUUUCUUAAGACUGCAUAUCAUUCUGUUUUUUCGAAAACUUCGCAAAAAUCAGGGUAUAUAGAAAAUCAGAUGUUUGUGCAGCCUCUCAUAUUAUGUAUAUGCUGCCUUAUGAUGUCAGGUGUGGAUAAUCUACAAGGAAUCUAACUGGAUUUUGUCAGUAAUCUGGAUAGUUUUGAUCAUAUGUUUUGGAAGGUAUGGUUUGAUCUUGCUCGUUCCGGUUCCAUAUUUUUCUUGCUCUAUUUGCUUAUAUGUUUUGGAAGGUGUUGGUAUUCUGAUCACUUGCACAUCCUGUUUUCCUUCGCCUCAAAUGUUAGCCGACAGUGCUAAGGUUUAGUUUUUGCCUUUGCAGCAUCACCAUUGUGCCUACAUCGUUAUGCGGUUCUUAUAACUGACUCCUCAAGAAUCACUCUUAGAUCCUAUCUACUUUGUUUUGCUCACAAACAAGAAAAGGUGAGUAGUUAAUCAUCAAUUGCUUGAGAUCAUUGAGUGCUGAUUAACUCUAUUUUGAAUUCUAUAAUUGGCUAAAGUUUUUUAAAUAGGGUCGAGGAAUAGUCAUAUCAGUUAUUGCAACUAACAAGUUAUACAAGAAGUUAAAUGGGGGAAACUAGCUAAUUAUCUGAUUUUUCUUCUUCUUCUAUAGAAAUUCUUGCGUUCUGUUUCUCUCUUCGGUUUCAGGUUAGAACAUAUACUUAGUGAAGAUUAAAAUGUGCCACGGCCAUCUUCCAUCCUUGUCUCCUUCGAUUACUUCACGUGUAGAAGUGGCUAGUAAACAACAAGCUGAAUACUAGCCGAUUCGAGCUUGGCUAUUUAUAUAUUCAGCUGUUCAAUCUCAUCUUGAGCUUCUAUUUUGUGGCCGAGCUCAGUUUGCCACACGAUUACUAAGCUCGAGCUUGAAAUCGUGUUCGAGCUGUGAACAAAAAAUUUUCAAGUCACAGGCCACAAGAUUACUAAGUAUUGUUUAACUUUUGUUUCUAAUGUGUUCUCAGAAAUCGUGUUUUGAUUACAAAAUUGUCCUAUUUGAUUUUGUUCAUGUAGGUUCAAGCUAGUUAGAUGGUUGAUUGUUGGAUGAUUGUUGGUGAAUGAAGAUGUAAUUAGUUGGAGAUUUUAUUAGAAAUUUUUUAGUAGAUAAAUAAAGGCGUAACUAGAGACGAUACAAUUAUGAAUUUUAGUGGUUUAUAAGUAUUUUUUAUUAUUUGUUACUGGUUUAUGUGUAUUGUUUGAUUAUUUGAUGUUUAAGUAUUUUAAUUUUGUUAUAUAUAUUGGUAUUAUAAAUCAAGGAUGCAAAUAUAUUCGAUAUAUUUUUUAAAAAUUUUACCAUAGAAUAGACAACAAAUAUUACAUGUUGUCUAUCAUUAUAUAGACAACAGUUAAUAUCUCUUAUCUAUAACCACUAGGUUUGUUGUCUAUAUUAUUUUAGACAACAUAUCAUCUUUGUUGUCUAUUAGCUUCCAUUUGUUGUCUAUGUUUAAAUAGACAACAAAUAAUAUAUGUUGUCUAUUACCUUCCGUCUGUUGUCUAUCUUUAAAUAGACAACGUAUAAUAUUUGUUGUCUCUGAGCACCCCAAAAUAGACAACACUGGCCUAUACAACAGUCAUUUCCCACAUAGACAACACUAAAUAUAUGUUGUCUAUGUGCUAAAUUCUUGUAGUGGAUAAAAUAUGAAAAUUUUUAAGAGUUCGUGAGCAAAACGUAUUGUUUACCUCAUUUUUGGUUGAAAUUUGCGGUUCUUGGGACGCAAGUUUGAGCAUGCUCUGCGCAUAUUUGUGUUAUUUUAUACUCCCUCCGUCCGUCAAGAUUAUGUCACAAUUACUAUAUUGGGCGUCCGCCAAGAUUAUGUCACUUUCCUUUUAUGGCAAUGGUCCCACCAUCCUCUUUAAUAUUUUAUCCUUACUAACACUCUUUAUUUACAAAAAAACCAUCCAAAAUUCAAUAUCAACCACUCAUCUCAUAAAGUGGUGGGACCCUUUCUCCACUACAUCAAAAUCAUCACCAAUUUUAUUAAAUCCCGUGCCCAAGCAAAUUGCCAUAAUCAUGGCGGACGGAGGGAGUACUUGCUCAAUGGCUUUGUGUGUGUUCAUGUUGUUUUGUAGGGUGUUGUGGUGUUUUUGGCGUUUCACGAAGCUUUUUGUUGAUACGUCUUGGAUCUCCCGCUUCGCAGAGUUGUACGGGGGUCUCGUUGCCUGGUCAGAGAGUCGGGGGGUCGAGGGCGGCGAAGUCUCCCUUGCCUGGGGGUCCGGGGGGGCGGAGCCGCCCUCUACCCAGCGUUUUGGACGUUUUUUGAACGAAAGCUGCAGCCACCAUCGCCUCCGCGCCCACCGUCGCCUCCGGCGCUCGCUACCCACGUCGCCCGCCGUGUCCUUUUUGGCGAAGGGCAUAGGCGGCGGCGCCGCCUCGCGCCGCCCGCGUAUUUCUGGCAGUUACGUUUUUUGGGGUUUAAAACCCUUUUUCUAGGGUUUUCUUC